RNAcentral lists this long non-coding RNA (216 nucleotides) under Ananas comosus (pineapple). RNAcentral's name for it is "long non-coding RNA (ACOM_LNC038362)". The record is from RNAcentral. Lineage: Eukaryota; Viridiplantae; Streptophyta; Magnoliopsida; Poales; Bromeliaceae.
UUUUGUAGACCAUUAAAUAUACCAAAUAAUCAAAACUCUAUAUACAUAUAAUUAAAAUACAUAAUAUAUAUUAUUAUAUAUAAUUAAAAAUAUAUUAUAUAUAACUUUAUAUUAUUUAUAAAUAUUUUUUAAUAUAUGUAUAUUUAAGCUUUUCGAGCCUAAUUAGAACGAGCCCAGUAAUACUCAAGCUCGGCUUAAAAUAAAUUUUAAUUUUUU